RNAcentral lists this unclassified non-coding RNA (346 nucleotides) under soil metagenome. RNAcentral's name for it is "partial contains 5.8S ribosomal RNA, internal transcribed spacer 2, and large subunit ribosomal RNA". The stretch from base 2 to 120 matches the Rfam family "5.8S ribosomal RNA", at positions 36 to 154 of the family's 154-position model. The record is from RNAcentral.
UAUGAAGAACGUAGCGAAAUGCGAUAAGUAAUGUGAAUUGCAGAAUUCAGUGAAUCAUCGAGUCUUUGAACGCACAUUGCGCCCCCUGGUAUUCCGGGGGGCAUGCCUGUCCGAGCGUCAUUGCUGCCCUCAAGCACGGCUUGUGUGUUGGGCCCCGUCCUCCGAUCCCGGGGGACGGGCCCGAAAGGCAGCGGCGGCACCGCGUCCGGUCCUCGAGCGUAUGGGGCUUUGUCACCCGCUCUGUAGGCCCGGCCGGCGCUUGCCGAUCAACCCAAAUUUUUAUCCAGGUUGACCUCGGAUCAGGUAGGGAUACCCGCUGAACUUAAGCAUAUCAAUAAGCGGAGGA